RNAcentral lists this ribosomal RNA (436 nucleotides) under uncultured Anaerovorax sp. RNAcentral describes it as "bacterial SSU rRNA". It matches the Rfam family "Bacterial small subunit ribosomal RNA", at positions 341 to 792 of the family's 1533-position model. The record is from RNAcentral. Lineage: Bacteria; Bacillati; Bacillota; Clostridia; Peptostreptococcales; Anaerovoracaceae.
ACGGAAGGCAGCAGUGGGGAAUAUUGCACAAUGGAGGGAACUCUGAUGCAGCAACGCCGCGUGAGUGAAGAAGGUCUUCGGAUCGUAAAACUCUGUCCUUAGGGACGAAGAAAGUGACGGUACCUAAGGAGGAAGCCCCGGCUAACUACGUGCCAGCAGCCGCGGUAAUACGUAGGGGGCGAGCGUUAUCCGGAAUUAUUGGGCGUAAAGAGUACGUAGGUGGUUUUGUAAGCGUGAGGUGAAAGCCCGGGGCUUAACUCCGGCGAGCCUUACGAACUGCAAGACUUGAGUGCAGGAGGGGAAAGUGGAAUUCCUAGUGUAGCGGUGAAAUGCGUAGAUAUUGGGAGGAACACCAGUGGCGAAGGCGGCCUGCUGGGCUUUAACUGACGCUGAGGCACGAAAGUAUGGGGAGCAAACAGGAUUAGAUACCCUGGUA